Molecule: long non-coding RNA, 947 nt
Organism: Mesocricetus auratus (golden hamster)
Lineage: Eukaryota; Metazoa; Chordata; Mammalia; Rodentia; Cricetidae
Exons: 3
Source: RefSeq, a predicted model, not a curated record
CAGCCGUCGCCGCAACCCCGGCCCGAGCCGCGAGCCACCAAGCUCCAAGUUCUCAGAAGCCCGGAGCGGGCUGCUGCGCCUUCCGGACCCCGGGGGCGUGACGCGCCGCGGGCAGCCCGGCCUUACGGGGUAGGUGGAGGAGGUCCGCGUCCCCGGCGGGCAGCCCCGACCCUGAGUGCUCCCGGAUCCCUGCUUCCUGGUUGCCAGGUUGGAGGUGCGUUUCGGGCUGGGGGCUGCUCUGAGUGAGAGGCUGGACAAAAAGAAAGGAUUCCUGGGCCGCCGCCAGCGAACACCUGAGGCGUGGCAGACAGACCCAGAGAGAGUUGGCAAGCCGGGAGGGUGCGGAAGAUCAGCAGGCGGAAGAUCAUCAGCGGAGAGCCUACCUCCCACCCUAAGCGGUGGUCUGGAGCCCCUGACCUUUGAGGGCGGUGGCUAGAGCCCUGGUCAGAGGCGGGCACAUGAUGGGAGGGCAAUGAUAAUGAUGGAAAUCCCGUACUCCUCCUUCCUCGGAGAGGUGUGUCACUGCACAAAGAUCAGGAAAGAGUACAUAGAUUAGAGGCGUGAACCACUGCGUUGGCCUUUUCUUCUUGUAUUGCCUUCCUGAUUUCCUCCACCAGUAGCAGGCUCCUUCUGAACGACCAGUGAAGAGAUCCACCAACAGCUCCAACUUCCCAGGUUCACAGCCUUGGCAGAGCAAAGAUUUUCCCUACCAGCAUCUUCAAGUCAAUCUCCAGGAAGAUGUGUGUCUUCCAGGACACAUGAGACAGGUCUAAGGUCUCUGUAAAAGAGGAUUGUCUACUAACCCAAGCCUUGCCUGUAUAACAGUUUUUCUCCAGAUCUGGCCCCGAUGCAGAAGGAAGGCAGGGGAUCAGGAAUCCCUUGAUGUCUGUGAUUCCCACCCAGAUCACUACAUGUAUAUAAAGUAAUAAAGCAACCAGUGCAACUCA